UAGCUCAGUUGGCAGAGCGCAAGGCUCUUAACCUUAAGAUUGUGGGUUCGAGCCCCAC
RNAcentral lists this transfer RNA (58 nucleotides) under Zea mays. It matches the Rfam family "tRNA", at positions 8 to 63 of the family's 71-position model. From Rfam's summary of the family: Transfer RNA (tRNA) molecules are approximately 80 nucleotides in length. Their secondary structure includes four short double-helical elements and three loops (D, anti-codon, and T loops). The record is from Rfam by way of RNAcentral. Lineage: Eukaryota; Viridiplantae; Streptophyta; Magnoliopsida; Poales; Poaceae.